GGUCGGUUAGCUCAGUUGGUUAGAGCAUCGCAAUCACAUCAUAUCAUCUCUGAUGAGAGAUACCUGCGAAGGUCAUAGGUUCAAUCCCCAUACUGACCA
Molecule: non-coding RNA, 99 nt
Organism: Xylariaceae sp. FL1019
Lineage: Eukaryota; Fungi; Ascomycota; Sordariomycetes; Xylariales; Xylariaceae
Source: the annotation of a GenBank genome assembly